GGGGAAUAUUGGACAAUGGGCGCAAGCCUGAUCCAGCCACGCCGCGUGAGUGAUGAAGGCCUUCGGGUCGUAAAGCUCUGUGGGGAGAGACGAACCGCUGGGGUAACCCUCCAGCAUGACGGUAUCUCCUUAGCAAGCACCGGCUAACUUCGUGCCAGCAGCCGCGGUAAUACGAAGGGUGCAAACGUUGCUCGGAAUUAUUGGGCGUAAAGCGCACGUAGGCGGUUUUUCAAGUCGGAUGUGAAAUCCUUAGGCUCAACCAAAGAAGUGCAUUCGAAACUGAGAGACUUGAGUAUGGAAGGGGGUCGUGGAAUUCCCGGUGUAGAGGUGAAAUUCGUAGAGAUCGGGAGGAACACCAGUGGCGAAGGCGACGACCUGGGCCAAUACUGACGCUGAGGUGCGAAAGCGUGGGGAGCAAAC
Molecule: ribosomal RNA, 420 nt
Filed under: uncultured bacterium
Lineage: Bacteria
Description: bacterial SSU rRNA
Rfam family: Bacterial small subunit ribosomal RNA
Source: RNAcentral